This 425-nucleotide ribosomal RNA is filed under the name uncultured bacterium. RNAcentral describes it as "bacterial SSU rRNA". It matches the Rfam family "Bacterial small subunit ribosomal RNA", at positions 917 to 1344 of the family's 1533-position model. The record is from RNAcentral.
GGACCCGCACAAGCGGUGGAGCAUGUGGUUUAAUUCGAUGCAACGCGAAAACCUUACCUACUCUUGACAUACUUGGAAGCUCUUGUAAUGAGAGUGUGCCUUUUGGAACCAAGAUACAGGUGCUGCAUGGCUGUCGUCAGCUCGUGUCGUGAGAUGUUCCGUUAAGUCGGAUAACGAGCGCAACCCUUACCCUUAUUUGCCAGCGAUUCGGUCGGGAACUAUAAGGGGACUGCCGGUGAUAAACCGGAGGAAGGUGAGGACGACGUCAAGUCAUCAUGGCCCUUACGAGUAGGGCUACACACGUGCUACAAUGGGGAAUACAGACGGACGCUAAGCCGCGAGGUGGUGCUAAUCCUAGAAAGUUUCUCGUAGUCCGGAUUGGGGUCUGCAACUCGACCCCAUGAAGUCGGAAUCGCUAGUAAUCG